RNAcentral lists this microRNA precursor (58 nucleotides) under Lingula anatina. RNAcentral describes it as "Lan-Mir-1989-P3_pre stem-loop". The record is from RNAcentral. Lineage: Eukaryota; Metazoa; Brachiopoda; Lingulata; Lingulida; Lingulidae.
UCAGCUGUCAUGAUGCCUUCUUGUUGUUGAGACAAAGAAGCCAUUAUGACAAUUGGUG